AUGUACCUCCUUGUGUACGUGGAUGAUAUUGUCCUCGUUAGCUCCUCUCCGACGGCUGCUGAUGCUCUUGUGACUGCGCUUGGUCGUGAUUUUGCAGUUAAGGAUUUGGGACAACUUCAUUUCUUCCUGGGUAUUGAAGUCGCUCAUCGGUCUCGUGGCAGUUUGGCUCUCACCCAGAAGAAGUACUCUCUUGAUCUUCUGCGCCGUGCUGGUAUGCUCAAGUGCAAGACAUCGCCUACACCCAUGUCCUCCACUGACAAACUUUCGGCUGCUGAUGGUACUCUUCUAUCUCCUGAGGAUGCUACCGAGUACAAGAGUAUUGUUGGUGGUCUGCAGUAUCUGACGAUCACACGUCCUGAUCUAUCCUUUGCGGUUAACAGGGUGUGCCAGUAUCUUCAUGCACCUACUAACAUGCACUGGUCUGCCGUGAAGCGCAUAUUGCGCUAU
RNAcentral lists this ribosomal RNA (447 nucleotides) under Triticum aestivum (bread wheat). RNAcentral's name for it is "partial small subunit ribosomal RNA". Lineage: Eukaryota; Viridiplantae; Streptophyta; Magnoliopsida; Poales; Poaceae. The record is from RNAcentral.